Molecule: ribosomal RNA, 470 nt
Filed under: uncultured bacterium
Lineage: Bacteria
Description: bacterial SSU rRNA
Rfam family: Bacterial small subunit ribosomal RNA
Source: RNAcentral
AGGACGAACGCUGGCGGCGUGCCUAACACAUGCAAGUCGAACGAGAUCCAUGGGAGCUUGCUCCCGGAAGAUCUAGUGGCGAACGGGUGAGUAACACGUGAGAAACCUGCCCUGGAGUGGGGAAUAACUCGGGGAAACUCGAGCUAAUACCGCAUACCCUCGGAUGGUCGCAUGGCCGACCGAGGAAAGAUUUAUCGCUCUAGGAGGGUCUCGCGGCCUAUCAGCUAGUUGGUGGGGUAACGGCCUACCAAGGCAACGACGGGUAGCUGGUUCGAGAGAACGAUCAGCCACACUGGGACUGAGACACGGCCCAGACUCCUACGGGAGGCAGCAGUGGGGAAUCUUGCGCAAUGGGCGAAAGCCUGACGCAGCAACGCCGCGUGCGGGAUGACGGCCUUCGUGGUUGUAAACCGCUUUCAGCAGGGACGAAAAUGACGGUACCUGCAGAAGAAGCCCCGGCUAACUACGUG